This 258-nucleotide ribosomal RNA is filed under the name uncultured bacterium. RNAcentral's name for it is "partial 16S ribosomal RNA". The record is from RNAcentral.
CUGCUGCCUUCCGUAGGAGUCUGGUCCGUGUCUCAGUACCAGUGUGGGGGACCUUCCUCUCAGAACCCCUACGCAUCGUCGUCUUGGUGGUCCGUUACACCGCCAACUAACUAAUGCGACGCAUGCCCAUCCGCCACCGGAAUUAACCUUUGGCACCAACAGGAUGUCCCGUCGAUGCAUUAUGCCGUAUUAGACGGAAUUUCUCCCGAUUAUCCGGCUGUGGCAGGCAGGUUGCAUACGUGUUACUCACCCGUGCCG